GCCGUCAUCGAGGUGGCGACGGACUCUUCGCCGUGCUCGGUGCUACGGCAGCCGUCGUCUCCCUUCGCCACGCCUGUGUUGGCGGUGCUGUCGAUGGGAACGUCGUGGUUGGCGUCACUUUGGUUGUCGUCUCCCUCCGUCGCGCUUGCGCUGGUGGUGGCGUCGGCAGGCGUCGGCGUGUGUGUUGCGCUCGACGGUGUGGCGGUUGUCACUUCCCGUACUCUCGUCACCUGCAGUACGCUAGCCGGUGCUAUCCCUGGUGCAGAUUCUUCCUCUGUUGGCGGCAGCGGUCGGCUCGUCGUCAACAUUCUCCUCCAAGCCGAUGCCGUUAGGAUUCUUGUGAAUGGGUGUUUGUUCUGCUCAGAGUCUUGUGGUUCCACAUUGCAGGUUGCCCUUUUCUUAGCCAUCCCCACCCUCAUAGCAAGACAUAAGUCAAUUGGCAGCCUCUCAAAAGCUUCUUUGUUGAUGGUUGGCUGGUCUACAUUCAAUGACGAAUCCCGUGGAGAUGCUUCGCUGAGUGAGAUAAUGCUCAUACCAAAAUCUACGGCUCAGCAACGAACCUCGAUCUUGUGCCAUUUCCGUGGAGGCAACCGAAGGGGAUCAACGGUUUGUCAAGCGGUGUACACUUCAACUGAGGCCCAAGACAUCGUGGCUCUGUUAGUCGUCACGGCAGCACCGCAGCUCCCUGUCGACUUGCUCCUUUUUCUGCUGUUUGGUCACAUCUGGAAGGCUUCCGUAGCUCGGUUAACCCUCUUUCUUCAGGGUUGUCUCUUAUGCUUACAGUUUCUAUCCUAUGCUGUGUACUAG
This 807-nucleotide long non-coding RNA is filed under the name Oryza sativa Indica Group (long-grained rice). RNAcentral describes it as "lncRNA OsZS97_02G017230". The record is from RNAcentral. Lineage: Eukaryota; Viridiplantae; Streptophyta; Magnoliopsida; Poales; Poaceae.